This 564-nucleotide ribosomal RNA is filed under the name uncultured cyanobacterium. RNAcentral describes it as "bacterial SSU rRNA". It matches the Rfam family "Bacterial small subunit ribosomal RNA", at positions 338 to 916 of the family's 1533-position model. Lineage: Bacteria; Bacillati; Cyanobacteriota. The record is from RNAcentral.
CCUACGGGAGGCAGCAGUGGGGAAUUUUCCGCAAUGGGCGAAAGCCUGACGGAGCAACGCCGCGUGAGGGAUGAAGGCCUCUGGGCUGUAAACCUCUUUUCUCAAGGAAGAAGAUCUGACGGUACUUGAGGAAUAAGCCACGGCUAAUUCCGUGCCAGCAGCCGCGGUAAUACGGGAGUGGCAAGCGUUAUCCGGAAUUAUUGGGCGUAAAGCGUCCGCAGGCGGCCUUUUAAGUCUGUCGUUAAAGCGUGGAGCUUAACUCCAUUUAAGCGAUGGAAACUGGAAGGCUAGAGUGUGGUAGGGGCAGAGGGAAUUCCCGGUGUAGCGGUGAAAUGCGUAGAUAUCGGGAAGAACACCAGUGGCGAAGGCGCUCUGCUGGGCCAUAACUGACGCUCAUGGACGAAAGCCAGGGGAGCGAAAGGGAUUAGAUACCCCUGUAGUCCUGGCCGUAAACGAUGAACACUAGGUGUCGGGGGAAUCGACCCCCUCGGUGUCGUAGCCAACGCGUUAAGUGUUCCGCCUGGGGAGUACGCACGCAAGUGUGAAACUCAAAGGAAUUGACGG